Long non-coding RNA from Zalophus californianus (California sea lion), 322 nucleotides. RefSeq lists it as uncharacterized. NCBI's taxonomy places the organism in Eukaryota, Metazoa, Chordata, Mammalia, Carnivora, Otariidae. The record is from RefSeq and is a predicted model, not a curated record. The transcript has 3 exons.
CAAGUGCCACUCACCUACUUACAAGAUGGACAACUGACUUCAUCUCUCUAAGAUAGGAGGUGACAAUAUCUACCUCAUAAGGCUGUUCUGAGGAUUAAACAUAAGGUUCUGAGAAAUAUACUGAGCAUUACAGAUAACAUAUGGUGGCACCCCACCCUACAUUUUCAGUGAGAAAUGAUGGUUGCAACAUUCUCUUUUGAUUUAAGCUUUGUGGCUUAUUGCAUCAUAAAUAUUCUGAGUGACACCUGAAAAAAAGUAGAUAAUACUGGAAUAUCUGAUCCAGGGGGAAGAACUCAGAAGAGAAUCUUAAGAAGGAAAACUA